ACUCGAGUGGCGAACGGGUGAGUAACACGUGGGUGAUCUGCCCUGCACUUCGGGAUAAGCCUGGGAAACUGGGUCUAAUACCGGAUAGGAGCCAUUUUUAGUGUGAUGGUUGGAAAGUUUUUUCGGUGUAGGAUGAGCUCGCGGCCUAUCAGCUUGUUGGUGGGGUAAUGGCCUACCGAGGCGGCGACGGGUAGCCGGCCUGAGAGGGUGGACGGCCACAUUGGGACUGAGAUACGGCCCAG
RNAcentral lists this ribosomal RNA (242 nucleotides) under uncultured Actinomycetales bacterium. RNAcentral describes it as "partial 16S ribosomal RNA". It matches the Rfam family "Bacterial small subunit ribosomal RNA", at positions 89 to 334 of the family's 1533-position model. Lineage: Bacteria; Bacillati; Actinomycetota; Actinomycetes; Actinomycetales. The record is from RNAcentral.